UUAUAAAAAUACGCUUCGCCCAAGACAGCAGGUGCGUUAAAGACGCUUAAUUGCCUGCCGAGGUGAAGAUAUCUCCAAGGAAAUGAAUCCGCAUUAAGCGGAUCAAGCGUGAAAGCGCGGAGAGUCUUUGCCAGGCAAUGGUUGCGAGGCAAAGACUUUUUUUUGGAAAG
Chloroflexi bacterium RBG_13_48_10 is the source of this 170-nucleotide non-coding RNA. NCBI's taxonomy places the organism in Bacteria, Bacillati, Chloroflexota. The record is from Rfam.